UUUCUCUUUUCUUUUUAUUGAUAACUUUGUAGAAACAGAAUUGUAGAACAAAUCAGUACAGGUUACAUACAGUGUCAGAUUAGGUCAAACAACACCUGUACAGGUUACAUACAGUGUCAGAUUAGGUCAAACAACACCUGUACAGGUUACAUACAGUGUCAGAUUAGACCAAACAACACCUGUACAGGUUCCAAACAGUGUCAGAUUAGGUAAACUUCAAACUAUUGUUUUUCUACUUGUAGCUCUGAAGUAAUAUGAACCCAUAUGAAAUUAAGUAAUAUUUUACCCAGCUGAAGGAGCUGUACAUCUGUAGCACUACAUUUAGUUAGAAUGCUGGACACACAUUUAUCAAAACAGCUUGUAGUUGGCACAGGCAAAUAGAACACAGAAGUAGAACCAUCAUUUUCUACAUGGCAAGGAUCACUUUACACUGACAAAUCAAUAUUUAAAAUACAUUUCUUCUUUAUACAAAGAUUCAUCAUCAGACACACAUAAAAGAUUUCAUUAAAUGAAAUGUUAAAAAAUGUGCACAUACCCAAAUCUCAACAAUUUUAAUAGUAAAAUAUAUACAUGUACAUAAUCUAAUAAAAAUGAUUUGAAUUAAAGAAGAAAAAAAUCUGUCUUCAUCAACCUUAUCUUGUUUUUAACUUUGAAUUUUUAAUGUAAACCCCACAUAAUUUUCACAGCAGACAAUCACUCUUAUUGUUCAGGCAAGAUUGGCUAUCAGGUGUCUGAAUGUGCGACUAAUUACCAAAAAUUAACAAGUUAUACCAACAAAUACUAGUCUCUCUUGUUGGCCCAGAUGGAAGCGGGGUUUUACUGUGGGAGAAAGCCACAGAUGACUAACUACAUUUUCACGUCUAAUUAGGGAAUGACCCUUAGGGAAUAACCUUAGGGAAUGACCUUAGGAGAUGACCUUAGGGAAUGACCUUAGGGAAUGACCUUAGGAGAUGAUCUUGGGUGUAAAAGGCAAGUAUAUGCCACCUGAUCACAAAACAAACAAUGAAAAUGAACUUAUAUUUUGUCUCGACGAACUUGACCUUUGACCUUUUGUUUAUGGGAAUGAGAGCGAUUCUGAAACACCCAACUCUGAAUUAGAAUUAAUAAGAAGUUUGAAUUUACACUGAUAUGUACCAUUCAUACAAACAUAACAAUUCUACCCUUUACUUCUUCCACAUAGACAUUACGUGAUAUGUAACAUUUAGUCAGCUUAAAAGAAAAUGAAUGCAUAUAUGUUCUAGAUAAGCCUUUUUAGUGGUUAGUUUGACCUGACCCCUGGACUUAGAGGUACAGACUGGGGGUGUCAUGUGACACAUAUACAUGUAUGUUCUAUUUAAAAAAGCUGUCCCCACGUUCUGCAGUAAAAUUCUUCGGUCAUAUAAAAAUCAUAUCACUGUCAUUAAUACACUCAUAAACAAGCUCUAU
Pecten maximus is the source of this 1425-nucleotide long non-coding RNA. RefSeq lists it as uncharacterized. NCBI's taxonomy places the organism in Eukaryota, Metazoa, Mollusca, Bivalvia, Pectinida, Pectinidae. The record is from RefSeq and is a predicted model, not a curated record. The transcript has 2 exons.